Molecule: ribosomal RNA, 861 nt
Filed under: uncultured Neocallimastigales
Lineage: Eukaryota; Fungi; Neocallimastigomycota; Neocallimastigomycetes; Neocallimastigales
Description: partial large subunit ribosomal RNA
Rfam family: Eukaryotic large subunit ribosomal RNA
Source: RNAcentral
AUAUCAGUCAUGCAUAGUAUAUCAAUAAGCGGAGGAAAAGCCGACUACCUACGCUUAGGAUGUUGACACACGCGCGUGCUCGACUCUAUACAUGACUCUGUGCAUAUCAAUAAGCGGAGGAAAAGAAACUAACAAGGAUUCCCCUAGUAACGGCGAGUGAAGCGGGAAGAGCUCAAAUUUGAAAUCUUAAAGGGUUUCCCUUUACGAAUUGUAGUUUAAAGAAGUGUUUUCUGUUGAGGUUUUGGUAAAAGUUCUUUGGAAUAGGACAUCAUAGAGGGUGAGAAUCCCGUAUUUGACCUUUACUUUUCAACUUUGUGAUACACUUUCAAAGAGUCGGAUUGUUUGGGAAUGCAGUCCAAAUAUGGGUGGUAAAUUUCAUCUAAAGCUAAAUAUUGGCGAGAGACCGAUAGCGAACAAGUACCGUGAGGGAAAGAUGAAAAGAACUUUGAAAAGAGAGUUAAACAGUACGUGAAAUUGUCAGAAGGGAAGCGUUUGACACCAGUGUUGUUUUUCUGAAAAUCAAUUAAAGAACUGUUUAUGCUAAGUUGUUUAGACUUUAUCAGCUAACUGUUUAGUUUUGAGCUUUUCUUUAAUGCACUUUUCAGUUAACAAGUCAACAUCAAUUUCUUUUGCUGUAAAAAAGCUUGAGGAAGGUGGCUUGAGAUUCGUCUUAAGUGUUUAUAGCCUCUUGCCUAUGCAGUCGGAGAGAUUGAGGUCUGCAGCGUAGAUCCUUCGGGGCUAAAUGCAUUUGUGCUAAGUUAUAGCAUUUUAUAGACAACUUGUUGACUAUGAUUUGUCUUGUAGCUUACUCGCUUAUGUUAUUUUACCUACGCUUAGGAUGUUGACGCGCGUGUGUGCGUG